CCCUCUUUCCCUUCCCUUCCCUUCCCUUCCCUUCCCUUCCCUUCCCUUCCCUUCCCUUCCCUUCCCUUCCCUCACCUCACCUCACUUCUCCUCCCGGGGUCGCCCCGUGGCGGCGCAGGGAGGUAACGGCCGCGACGGGCGGCCCUGAGGGGCAGGUGGGCUUCUGGAACCGCAGCAACUGGCGACAGUGACAAAAUCACCCAGCAAAGCAGUGGCAAAGAAUGAAACAGAAGUUCCUAAUGGCUACUUAAAUUCACACUGAAAACUGAUGGAGCUCUGAAGUGUGCAAGGAUUACUGAAGAGGCAUUUAACACUUCUUUACUUCAGACCAUUCUUUUGUUUCCUAAAGCAACGUCAAAAGAGACAGGAAGCCUUCCAGAAUUCUGCUGUACGAAUCGAUAACCAUGGUAUUAACAGGAGUACUCAAAGAAAACAUGCCAUUGCAGAGAAGUUUAUAAACUAUUUGAGUCAGUUUUCACCAGGAGGAAACUGGAAACCUUGGUGAGAAACUCACCAGUAGUUUCACCUUGCUGGAAAUGGAAGGGGUUUUGAAGACAGAGUGGAUAAAUCUGAUAAAAUGAAUGGUAAGAAACCAUUAGGACCAGAGGGAAGUUACUAGCAGGUGUGUGUAACUACACUUUUAAAAAUGUAAUGAUACCCGUUGUAUGCAGGAUGCCAAAUAUAACGUCAACUUUUAAAAAGAGUUGCAUGGAAGAUAGGGGGCCUGACAGGCUGGACACCUGGAUAAGUAUGAUUGACUUGGUAGAAUCCACAUAACUUCAUAGAGGAAAAUUCUGCCUUACAAAUGUACAGAAUUCCCUGAAGUCAACCUGCAUGUUGAAAAGAGUGGCUUGUAUAGCCUCACUGCAUGUACAAGGAACUCACCUGCUUGGAGCAGAUAAGGGAAUGCAAGCCUAGUUGCAGCACCUGGAGUAUUUAUUUCCAAUCUCACGUUACUUAACAACAGCUAAACAGCUGUUUUUCUCACCUAUUCCCAACACCUUCCUUAAAUACCUGUUUCUAAGUCAUAGUGCUGAGUAAAGUGCAGCUCAGUCACUCUGUAAUGUUCCUUAACCUACUCUUUUCUUAACACUGUAAUAUCUUAGUUCCUCUCUCUCAUGAGACGAGCAAUACUGUGCUAGUUCUGGAAAGUGAUUUCAAGGAAGAGGGCUUUCAAAGGUAUAUUUCUAGGGGGAACUGAAAGCAUUCUAACCACUAUAAUUACAAACCCUCCGUUCCUCUAGUUGUAGCUCCACUUCUAGGUUCCUGAGAAAAGGGAUGCUGCAUGAAUGUGUAUGAAUGAACUUAGUCUCAAAGCCUGAAAACACCCUACUUGCUAACAAAGUCUAGCAGGCAAAGCAGAAUGGACAUGUGCAGAUCCUAUACCAGACUUUCUGUGACAGGAACAUUUCAGAAGGAAAAUGAAAUCUCUCUCUCUGGAGGCUCACAGGAAUUCUGCACUGCUACAGACUUUUACCAUGGAACCAACUUAGAGCUCAGACAUAGUGUUAUCCCUCUCAUACUGCUGUGUUUCUACUGUUCAUCUGAUUGGGUGUCAUUUUUGAUCAUGAACAGCAGUCUAAAAUAUGGGCUCUGCUGUAUUGUGUGAAGAUCUUAUUUCUAAAAAUCGUUCCAUUUAAUUUUUAG
Long non-coding RNA from Cygnus olor (mute swan), 1647 nucleotides. RefSeq lists it as uncharacterized. Lineage: Eukaryota; Metazoa; Chordata; Aves; Anseriformes; Anatidae. The record is from RefSeq and is a predicted model, not a curated record. The transcript has 4 exons.